This 464-nucleotide ribosomal RNA is filed under the name uncultured bacterium. Its description in RNAcentral is "partial 16S ribosomal RNA". It matches the Rfam family "Bacterial small subunit ribosomal RNA", at positions 339 to 795 of the family's 1533-position model. The record is from RNAcentral.
CUACGGGUGGCUGCAGUGGGGAAUAUUGCACAAUGGGCGCAAGCCUGAUGCAGCCAUGCCGCGUGUAUGAAGAAGGCCUUCGGGUUGUAAAGUACUUUCAGCGGGGAGGAAGGGAGUAAAGUUAAUACCUUUGCUCAUUGACGUUACCCGCAGAAGAAGCACCGGCUAACUCCGUGCCAGCAGCCGCGGUAAUACGGAGGGUGCAAGCGUUAAUCGGAAUUACUGGGCGUAAAGCGCACGCAGGCGGUUUGUUAAGUCAGAUGUGAAAUCCCCGGGCUCAACCUGGGAACUGCAUCUGAUACUGGCAAGCUUGAAUCUCGUAGAGGGGGGUAGAAUUCCAGGUGUAGCGGUGAAAUGCGUAGAGAUCUGGAGGAAUACCGGUGGCGAAGGCGGCCCCCUGGACGAAGACUGACGCUCAGGUGCGAAAGCGUGGGGAGCAAACAGGAUUAGAUACCCCGGUAGUC